CUCCUUAUAUGUUCUGGGCCGCACGCGCACUACACUGAUCCCGACAACGAGCUCAUGCUUAUGCAUCCUGGAUUGAAAAGUCCGGGUAAUCUUAUGAGCCGGGAUCGUGAUGGGGAUAGAUGAUUGCAAUUAUUCGCCUUGAACGAGGAAUGUCUAGUAGGCGCGUUUCAUCAGAACGCACCGAUUAUGUCCCUGCCAUUUGUACACACCGCCCGUCGCUCCUACCGAUUGAAUGUUCCGGUGAGCUCUUCGGACUGCGCGGUCUGCAGUUUCUGCGUUCCGUGCGGAAAGUUGCGCAAACCUUAACAUUUAGAGGAAGGAGAAGUCGUAACA
This 333-nucleotide ribosomal RNA is filed under the name uncultured eukaryote. Its description in RNAcentral is "partial 18S ribosomal RNA". It matches the Rfam family "Eukaryotic small subunit ribosomal RNA", at positions 1469 to 1796 of the family's 1831-position model. The record is from RNAcentral.